Molecule: long non-coding RNA, 2546 nt
Organism: Bos taurus (domestic cattle)
Lineage: Eukaryota; Metazoa; Chordata; Mammalia; Artiodactyla; Bovidae
Source: Ensembl
GUCUCCACCCUAGCUGUGGUGACACACAGCUGGGGAGGUUACAGCCUGCAAUCAGAAUCCCUGGCGGGGAGGGGCGGUGCCCAGGUGUUGGUGUUUUUAUAAAGAGUGGAGUAUGAUGAACCACAUGGACAGGGCGCUGUGGCUCCUGGGCCACCUGGGCGCACAGGUGCGCCUGUGUUACAGUGUUUUCUUGGAGAGUCCUGGUAGCAUGACCUUCGGCUGAGACCCGUCGCUUGGCAGCUGUGCAGAAAGACGCAGCUCAUUAACUCUGCAUCCAGAGACGAGAACCUUGAGGGCUGUAACACCAGUGUACCCAGGGACGGCUCACAGAAUUAAUGAACUUCAGAAAAAGUCAGCGGUUACCUGCUGGGGCUUGGAGCAAGCUCUGGACUGGAGUCUUCCUUCCCUUAAACAGCAGGAGUUCCCACACUCGGGCGCAAAUGCGAAUCCCCCCGCGGUGGGCUGGGCUGGGGGCCUGGAGUCUGCACGUGUUAGAGGCCCCUCAGGAUGUUCGACUGUCUCAGGGGUGGGCGCACCCCGCCCCUCCCUCCCCCGGGAACCUUGCAGACAAUGUCAUUACAUCAGCAGUGAUCACUUCUAGCAACUGAACUUGCACGAAGCCCUUCGGUACUAGCAGCAAACAGCGGGUGUGUUCUGUGUGUGGAGCAGCAUGUGAGUGAUUUCAGGGUACAGAGCCACUGGAAGACCUUGUUCAAAUCCUGCCUGCUGGUCAUGUGACCAAGAGGAGUUCACUUUGCCUGUCUUUGCGUCUGGGGACCCAGGAUGCUCACCAUCGCAGGGGCGCUGGGCUGCUGUGAGGUGCUCCUACUGCUGGUGCUGCUCAGUCGUGUCUGACUCAUUGCGGCCCCAUGGACUGUAGGCCGCCAGGCUUCUCUGUCCGUGGGAUUUUCCAGGCAAGAAUACUGGAGUGGGGAGCCAUGUCCUACACCAGGGGAAUCUUCCCUCCCCAGGGGAUCGAACCCGAGUCUCUGCAUCUCCCUGCAUUGGCAGGUGGAUUCUUUCACUAGUGCCACCUGGGAAGACCAAAGUGAAGAUGUCUAGACCUUAAACACCAAGUCUUGGAGCUAGGUGAGCCCUCAGGGAUCUGCUGCUCCCGACGGGAAGAUGAGUAACACACUCCAUGGAGAUCCUCAUCUCUCUGCCAGCCCAGUGGAAACAGAGACCCUGCUGCAGGCUAUAUGACCAGCCCACGCUAGUUAGUAACAGAAGCCUCUCUGGAACUUGAGUCUGGGCCACUGCAAAGCAAGGACGAUGCUGCUGGGAGGGAGACUUCCGCCUCCCCUCCCUCCAGCGGGGCUCACUGUGGGGAACCGCAGCUUCAGACAUCAGACGUGUGCACCUCAGCCCCAAGAAGCAGCCCUCUGUCCCCCCCUCACCCCGACCCUCAAGCUCCAAGCAGAAGGCAAAGCAAACCGGAAUCAGCACCCAUGAUAAAUGGUGCUUGGAUGAUUUCUAAUUGCGAGAAAAGUUACACGGAAGACUUAAUACGCAAGGAGGAAAUUUAGCUGUUGAUACCUAACACACCCAUAUAAACGUGUGACCGAGUCACCAUCUUGAGAAACCAAGGACUCAACAGGCAGUCCUCCGAACAUCUUUGGCUGGCAGCUCUAGUCCCUCAAAAGACAAAGGAUGUUGAAUGCACAAGGAAAUCACACUUUGCCAGGAGGUCACACAGUGAGUGCCCUGAGACCACCCUUCUGACCUUCACCAACUCCCCCGCCUGUUCUCGCUGAAGCUUUCUCACAGUGAGCGUCACCAAAAGCCAUCGACAUCUUUAAUGGGAGGGCUGCCUUUUUUCUGUUUCCGGGAGAGCUGUUAUUCUAGUUUGGGCUGCUUUAGCAAAAACACCAACAGACUGGGUGGCUUCAACAACAAACACUUACUGUUCUGGAGACGAGGAAGGCCAAGGUGCUGGCAGAUUUGGUGUCUGGUGAAGAGCACGUGUCCUGGUUUGGAGGUGGCCAGCUUCUUGCUGUGUCCUCAUAUGAUGGCGGGGGUGAGGGAACAGCCUGAGGCCCCUUUUUAUAAGGGCACUAAUUCUACCACGAGGGCUCCACCCUCGUGACCUAAUCACCUCCCAGAGGCCCCACCUCCUAAAAUUCCCACCAAAUGGAAGAUGUUAACUACAUCAUGACCACAAACAAGGAGUCCCCCAGACCUACAGGUGUCUAGGAAUGGACAGUUAACACCUGUGACAUCACCUCAUUACCUCACCGUCACCCAGAGAACUGUGCACUAGCUGAUCACAGACCCUGGGAUGCCCCUGUGUCACCUGGCCUUCAAAAAUGCUGUCUUGAACCCUAUCAGAGAGUUUGGGGUUUGGGGGCAGCAGCUGUCCUGGAAGUCCUUGCUGGGCGCCUACAAUAAACGCUGCACUUCCCUUCACCACCACCUGGUGGCAGUAGAUGGGCUUUACUGCGCAUGAGCGAGCAGACGAUUUGGUUCGGCAACAUGCACGUGGGCAAAGCUGAAGUUUUGGGGAACGAAAAACCCCAAAGCCCAAAGGGAUACAGGGAAACUUUUGG